RNAcentral lists this ribosomal RNA (468 nucleotides) under uncultured bacterium. RNAcentral's name for it is "partial 16S ribosomal RNA". It matches the Rfam family "Bacterial small subunit ribosomal RNA", at positions 28 to 507 of the family's 1533-position model. The record is from RNAcentral.
GACGAACGCUGGCGGCGUGCUUAACACAUGCAAGUCGAACGGAAAGGCCCUGCUUUUGUGGGGUGCUCGAGUGGCGAACGGGUGAGUAACACGUGAGUAACCUGCCCUUGACUUUGGGAUAACUUCAGGAAACUGGGGCUAAUACCGGAUAGGAGCUCCUGCUGCAUGGUGGGGGUUGGAAAGUUUCGGCGGUUGGGGCUGGACUCGCGGCUUAUCAGCUUGUUGGUGGGGUAGUGGCUUACCAAGGCUUUGACGGGUAGCCGGCCUGAGAGGGUGACCGGCCACAUUGGGACUGAGAUACGGCCCAGACUCCUACGGGAGGCAGCAGUGGGGAAUAUUGCACAAUGGGCGGAAGCCUGAUGCAGCAACGCCGCGUGCGGGAUGACGGCCUUCGGGUUGUAAACCGAUGUCGCCUGUGACGAAGCGUGAGUGACGGUAAUGGGUAAAGAAGCACCGGCUAACUACGUG